UUUCCGUAGGUGAACCUGCGGAAGGAUCAUUAUUGUAUAAUCGAUGAAGGAGGUCUUUCGCUUACAUAACAGGAUGUGCAGGACCGAGUGCCCUGACACCCAUCUAUCACAACCCUAUGUGCAACAACGCGUGGGUCCCCAUUUGGCUUGUUGGGAGAGAGGCUUACGUUUUCACUUAAACACAGUAUGCAGUGUAGAGUGUAUCUUUUCUUUUUGCGAGCACGCAAACAAUACAACUUUGAAGAACGGAACUCUUGGCUCUCGUAUCGAUGAAGAAGG
RNAcentral lists this unclassified non-coding RNA (279 nucleotides) under plant metagenome. RNAcentral's name for it is "partial contains small subunit ribosomal RNA, internal transcribed spacer 1, and 5.8S ribosomal RNA". The record is from RNAcentral.